GACGAACGCUGGCGGCGUGCCUAAUACAUGCAAGUAGAACGCUGAAGAGAGGAGCUUGCUCUUCUUGGAUGAGUUGCGAACGGGUGAGUAACGCGUAGGUAACCUGCCUUGUAGCGGGGGAUAACUAUUGGAAACGAUAGCUAAUACCGCAUAACAAUGGAUGACACAUGUCAUUUAUUUGAAAGGGGCAAUUGCUCCACUACAAGAUGGACCUGCGUUGUAUUAGCUAGUAGGUGAGGUAACGGCUCACCUAGGCGACGAUACAUAGCCGACCUGAGAGGGUGAUCGGCCACACUGGGACUGAGACACGGCCCAGACUCCUACGGGAGGCAGCAGUAGGGAAUCUUCGGCAAUGGGGGCAACCCUUACCGAGCAACGCCGCGUGAGUGAAGAAGGUUUUCGGAUCGUAAAGCUCUGUUGUAAGUCAAGAACGAGUGUGAGAGUGGAAAGUUCACACUGUGACGGUAGCUUACCAGAAAGGGACGGCUAACUACGUG
Molecule: ribosomal RNA, 497 nt
Filed under: uncultured bacterium
Lineage: Bacteria
Description: partial 16S ribosomal RNA
Rfam family: Bacterial small subunit ribosomal RNA
Source: RNAcentral